This 294-nucleotide ribosomal RNA is filed under the name uncultured bacterium. RNAcentral's name for it is "partial 16S ribosomal RNA". It matches the Rfam family "Bacterial small subunit ribosomal RNA", at positions 331 to 643 of the family's 1533-position model. The record is from RNAcentral.
CUUGACCUACGGGGGGCAGCAGUGGGGAAUAUUGCACAAUGGGGGGAACCCUGAUGCAGCGACGCCGCGUGGGUGAAGGAGUAUCUCGGUAUGUAAAGCCCUAUCAGCAGGGAAGAACAAUGACGGUACCUGACUAAGAGGCACCGGCUAAAUACGUGCCAGCAGCCGCGGUAAUACGUAUGGUGCAAGCGUUAUCCGGAUUUACUGGGUGUAAAGGGAGCGCAGGCGGCGCGUUAAGCCUGGUGUGAAAGCCCGCGGCCCAACCGGAGGACUGCAUUGGGAACUGGCGAGCUG